RNAcentral lists this ribosomal RNA (301 nucleotides) under uncultured bacterium. RNAcentral's name for it is "partial 16S ribosomal RNA". It matches the Rfam family "Bacterial small subunit ribosomal RNA", at positions 509 to 807 of the family's 1533-position model. The record is from RNAcentral.
CAGCCGCCGCGGGAAAACGUAGGUGGCAAGCGCUGUCCGGAAUUAUUGGGCGUAAAGGGCUCGCAGGCGGUUUCUUAAGUCUGAUGUGAAAGCCCCCGGCUCAACCGGGGAGGGUCAUUGGAAACUGGGAAACUUGAGUGCAGAAGAGGAGAGUGGAAUUCCACGUGUAGCGGUGAAAUGCGUAGAGAUGUGGAGGAACACCAGUGGCGAAGGCGACUCUCUGGUCUGUAACUGACGCUGAGGAGCGAAAGCGUGGGGAGCGAACAGGAUUAGAUACCCCCGUAGUCCCUGUCUCUUAUAC